CAUAUGCUUGUCUCAAAGAUUAAGCCAUGCAUGUCUAAGUAUAAACAAAUUUAUACUGUGAAACUGCGUACAGCUCAUUAUAUCAGCAAUAAUUUAUUUGAUGGUACCUUUACUACAUGGAUACCCGUAGUAAUUCUAGAGCUAAUACAUGCAUAAUAUUCCGACUUUUACGGGAAGGAAUGUAUUUAUUAGAUACAAAACCAAUGCGGUCUUCGGGCCGGUCUUUUGGUGAGUCAUAAUAACUGUUCGGAUCGCAUGGCCUUGUGCUGGCGACAUUUCAUUCAAAUUUCUGCCCUAUCAGCUUUCGAUGGCAAUGUAGUGGAUUGCCAUGGCGUUAACGGGUAACGGAGAAUUAGGGUUUGAUUCCGGAGAGGGAGCCUUAGAAACGGCUACCACAUCCAAGGAAGGCAGCAGGCGCGCAAAUUACCCAAUGCUGACACAGCGAGGUAGUGACAAGAAAUAACAAUACCGGGCCUUUUCAGGUCUGGUAAUUGGAAUGAGAUAAAUUUAAAUCCCUAAACGAGGAUCCACUGGAGGGCAAGUCUGGUGCCAGCAGCCGCGGUAAUACCAGCUCCAAUAGCGUAUACUAAUGUUGUUGCAGUUAGAAAGCUCGUAGUUGGAUUUCUGAUUAACCGUUCUGGCCCGCAGAUUUCGAUUUGUGAGUGCCGGAAUGUUGUUUUUCAUCCUUUCAGAGAGCUAGUGUCUACUCUUUACUGAGCAGGACGCUGUAAUCUGGAUCAUUUACUUUGAAAAAAUUAGAGUGUUCAAGGCAGGCUUUUGCUAUGAAUACAUGAGCAUGGAAUAAUAAUAUAGGACUUUGGUUCUAUUUUGUUGGUUUCUAGGACUGAAGUAAUGAUUGAUAGGGAUAGUUGGGGGUGCUAGUAUUGUUAGGCCAGAGGUGAAAUUCUUGGAUUCUAGCAAGACUAACUACUGCGAAAGCAUUCACCAAGGAUGUCUUCUUUAAUCAAGAACGAAAGUCGAGGGAUCGAAGACGAUCAGAUACCGUCGUAGUCUCAACCAUAAACUCUACCGACUAAGGAUCCGCGGACGUCUAAUCUUCACUCCAUUCGCACUGUAUGAGAAAUCAAAGUUUUUGGGUUUUGGGGGGAGUAUGGUUGCAAGGCUGAAACUUAAAGGAAUUGACGGAAGGGCACCACCAGGAGUGGAGCCUGCGGCUUAAUUUGACUCAACACGGGAAAACUUACUCGGUCCAGACAUAGUAAGGAUUGACAGACUGCAGAUCCUUCUUGAUUCUAUGGGUGGUGGUGC
This 1269-nucleotide ribosomal RNA is filed under the name uncultured eukaryote. RNAcentral describes it as "partial small subunit ribosomal RNA". It matches the Rfam family "Eukaryotic small subunit ribosomal RNA", at positions 25 to 1283 of the family's 1831-position model. The record is from RNAcentral.